GACGAACGCUGGCGGCGUGCUUAACACAUGCAAGUCGAACGGGAAUUCGUAAACAGAGGCCUCGGCGGGAGAUUCCUACUGAGAGUGGAGAACGGGUUAGUCACGCGUGAGCUACGUGCCUACUUCAGUAGGCUAGCCCCGGGAAAGCAGGGGUACUCCCGCAUAAAAUCGUAGAAAGACAUGUUUUAACGGUCAAAGAUUUAUCGGUCAUUGAUGGGCUCGCGUCUGAUUAGGUAGCUGGUGAGGUAACAGCCCAGCAAGGGGACGAACAGUAGCAGGUCGGGGAGGAUGAACGGCUACAUUGGAACUGAGACACGGACCAAACUCCGACGGAAGGCAGCAGUGGGGAAUAUUGUACGAUGAGGGAAACCCUGAUGCAGCGACGCCGCGGGAAAGAAGAAGGUAGUCGUAUCGUAAAUUUCUGUCCGAUGGGAAGAUAAUGACAGUAACAGAUAAGAAAGCUCCGGCUAAAUACGUG
This 478-nucleotide ribosomal RNA is filed under the name uncultured bacterium. RNAcentral describes it as "partial 16S ribosomal RNA". It matches the Rfam family "Bacterial small subunit ribosomal RNA", at positions 28 to 507 of the family's 1533-position model. The record is from RNAcentral.